This is a long non-coding RNA of Acinonyx jubatus (cheetah), 2583 nucleotides long. RefSeq lists it as uncharacterized. Lineage: Eukaryota; Metazoa; Chordata; Mammalia; Carnivora; Felidae. The transcript has 2 exons. The record is from RefSeq and is a predicted model, not a curated record.
UGCCCCUGCUGUCGCUUGGAGCACGUGACCACCAGCCGACGACCCGGCGAGCGCCGCCCCGCGCCUGCGGCAGCCGACCCACCGGAAGACAACGGCGCGGGCGCUUCUGCGCCGUCGCCCCCGAUUGGCCGCGUCCGGGUCACGUGGCCGCGCCCCUCCUCUGGAGGGUGGCGGUCCGGGGUCCGAGCGCCGCCUCUGCGGUGGCUGGUGCGAGGGUGGCGUUGUCCCCCUCCUCCUCCGAGAAAUGCACCUGCAGUCCCCCGGGUGUUCGCAGCCUGCGCUGCUGGCGCCGGUUCGAGCCGAGCGUUCUUCCCUCGAAACAGCGGCCAACCGCGGUCAGAACGACCCGUUCGAGGUCAGAGUGUCCGUCUCCCGAGCGUCGGUCUGACCCAGAGGAGGUGCUUGGGCCGCUGGGCUUCGAGCCCAUCCUCACCGGGCUCACUCCCCCCGCCCUCCCUACGCGGGGAGGGGCCCAGGGGGCCAGGGGAGUGGUGCCGACCGACUGCAGCCCCGAGCGCGGCAAUUAGCCCUUCUUCCUGGGGGAGGGGGGAGCCGGGAGCCGAGGCCACACCCUGCACCUCCAAGUGCGGCCCGGACCGCGGGCACUUAGCCCCUCCUCCUCCGGGGUGCCCCGCCCGUCGAGGCCUCGCCCCGCACCUCCGACUGCAGUCGCCCGCCCCGGACGCCGCCCUCGGCAGAGCCGCAGGGCCCCCUCCCCCACACCCCCUCCGCGCUCCGCUGCGGGGAGUCCACCUGCUGCCCGCCGCAGCCUCCCGGGUGGGAAGCACACCCCUCGGGGACCUGGGGUGGGAGGAGGAGGCCGGGAGUGCCCUUCCUUCCCUCUUCACCACACCCUGCUGCUGCUUCCGAAUGAGCCUCUUAACGAACGGGCGGGUCCCAGGGCCGGCAUCAUCGGGAGAGCACAGGAUGAGCCCGAUGCGUCCUGUGUCGCUAGAAGGGAAGGAGGAGCUCACCAACCGAUAUGGGGUGUGCAAGGGCUCAGGAGCCAGCCCGGAGGAGCUCCCGGCGGCCCAGGCUGGAGCAAUAAUGAGCACAGAGGUAGUGCUGUUGGACGAUAACUGUUUUCGUAGCUGAACACCCACGAGUCCAUAGCGCUAUAAAGAAACAGCAGCCAAGUCGGUGAGGGAGAAGGGAAGGCCCUUUCCUGUAGAAAUAUCACAAGAGAUGUAGUAGGGGUGAGGGAAGCCGGGGAGCGACUCGAGGCAGACGCCACCAUGGUGCCUCCGCCGUGGCGGUCACCGCGAGAUCGGAGGGUGCUAAGAUCAGCGAGCAGAAGCUGAACUGCUUCACAUCUCUCCCCCAAGACGUUUGCCGAUUAACGGGAACAAAUAGUGACUUCACAGUGGAGAAACUUGAUCGACGCCCCGCAGCCAGGAUCCUGGGAACAGGUCCGAGAAAUACAGCAAGACAUUGUUCAGCGGAACAGAGUGCUCUCCCAAAGGGCCACGCUCCCGGCAGAUAAGGCAGUCCUCAGGAGCUGUCCCAGAUUGGAGCUGUGUGAGGAGCAUGACAGCCAAAGGCGACGUGGGGCUCUGGACUGGCCCAGACCGGGAAGAGUGCGUUAGUGGAGAACAUGAAAUCUGAAUCAAGUCCGGAGUCAGUUGACAGUGUGCGCCACGGACUGAAUAUUCACGUUUUCCCCAAACUUGGCCUUCGAAACCUAAUCCCCAGUGUGAUGGUGCCUGGAGGCGGGACCUGGGGGAGGUGCUGAGGUCCUAAGAAAUGGAGCCCUCCUGAAUGUGACCCGCGCCCUCAUAGAAGAGCCUAGAGAACCAGCGUGUCCCUUCUGCCACGCGAGGACGCCGAGAGAAGACAGCUGUCUGUGAACCAAGAGGCGGGCUCUCGCCAGGCACCAACCUGCCGAAGCCUUGGCUUUGGACUCCAGCCUCCAGGACCGUGGGAAGUACACGCUUGUCGUUCUGACUCCCCAGCCUGUGUUAUUUUGUUCCGGCAGCCCCACCAGACCGAGACAGUACUGCACCAGAAUUAGCUACCUGGUAGCUUUGAUAUUUAUGCCAUAGAUCUGUAAGGCGUUAACGGUGGGAAAAGCUGGGCAAAGCAUUUGCGAAUUGUCUGCGCUUUGUUUUGCUUUGUUUUGUUUGCCAGAUUCAGGUGGGCCAGGGUGAAUUCAUCCUUCUCCUGGGCUGGGGGAGCAAGGGGAGUCCACGUCCGGGCUGCCCUCGUGUCCCGGAAUGGGGCGAGCUGAUGGGAAGCUCGGGUGGAUGCCCUUCAUGGGCUCUCGGGUGCCCAACCUGCCUUUACCGGCUUGGCGAGUACGGAUGUGUCCGGCAGGGACAAGCUCGGCAGAUUGGAGAGCGGCGAGGAGCCCAGGUUGGGGGGCUUAUGGAUGAGCAGGAGGAAGGUGGCAGGAGGCGAGCUUGGACAGAUGGCCAGCGUGUCAUGGGGGCCACAUCAGGUGAGGUUAGAGAAGGAAUCCUCAUCCACCCCUUCACAUCUCCCACCUCCAUUUAGUACGGUUUGAGUAUCCUUUUGGGUUUUUCUCAAUUACCUGUGUAGCAUUAUGUCCUGUUUCCUACUUAAGGCUCUGUAUCUGGUCCAGCA